This 67-nucleotide transfer RNA is filed under the name Tetraloides heterodactylus. RNAcentral's name for it is "tRNA-Pro". The record is from RNAcentral. Lineage: Eukaryota; Metazoa; Arthropoda; Malacostraca; Decapoda; Tetraliidae.
CAGAGAAUAGUUUAAUAAAAAUAUUAGUUUUGGGGACUAAAGAUAAGUAAAAAAUAUUUUUCCCUGA